UCCAACAACAGCUCAACUGCACAGGGAGGAGGAUCGAACUGGUCCCUCUCUCCCUCCGCCGAAGGAGCCGACCCGGCAUAGGAAGGUGCCGAUUUCAGUGUCUGCUGUGUUACAGUGGUGUCUUUGCUGAGUUUGAAACUGGAUACUCCAAGCAAGUAGAUACCUUUUCUUCAGAUAUGUCAGGAAAAAAAAACUGAAACUACUUCAGCAAAAAUAGCCUUUCUGCCAUCUUCAUCAAGUUAACGUGGAAAACUGAUAUUUAUUCAUGAAGGAGCUUGAUUAAACUGUUCCACUUUAUCAUUUUACAUCUUGAUACAAUAAUAUGGAUACAGGUUAUUUUCUUGCAAUACUUCUCACCUUUUUUGCAAUUGUUUUUUUGCUUGGCUGCCUUCUCCACGAGAUUAUAUGCUUCAUGAGGACAGUUUUUCUCAUCAUUAUAUCCUCAAUACAAUAAUGUUUUGGAAGAAAAUGAAUAAAGAAAGUCCAUGCAAAAAAGUCAUCUGGUCUAUGUCACAGGAAUAGUGAAUUCUUAUCAGGUUAAUCAAAUAUGAGUUGCAUUACUCAAGAGUUUUUAAUAACCAGUGGUUGUAAAUUGAAUUUUUAUCAUGUAUUGGUGUAAAUGUAAUGUUGAAUGUAGUUGUAAGUUUCAGGAUAGGAAUUAGUGUUCAGCCUGCAGUAGGUAACUGCUACUUUUGUCAUUCUUUGGGUAACUCUUAGCCAGCUUGGGUCUGAGAAAUUGCCCCCUCCUUUGCACUCAGCCCUGUCCUUGUUCUAGGAGUCUCCUCCCCGAGAUGCAGUGGGUCUAGCAUUAGCAUGUGAUCUUCUGUUCCUCCAGGGAACAGCCCCCGCUGCGGUCAUGAGGCUUUGUUCAUCCAUACACUCAGCUGGUCUUGUCAGAGGAGCCGCUGAGUGAAAGGCUGUCCUUUACUUUGGGGAGAAACGUGCGAGACCUGUGGGGCUCCUACACUGAAGCCACACUGGGAAAGGUGGGAGAAAGAGAAAGAGACAGAGGGUCCUGAUGACACCAUUAGAGGCUUUAAAUCACCCACAACUUUAUUUUUCUGUCAUUUGCCACAAAAAUAACACUAGUACAGAGACUAAGUUAUGUUACUUAGUUUUUAUAUUUUCAAAAUAAAGGGCUCAUUUAGAUGGCUCUUAGUGGAAGUGAAGUUUGGUAGGUCUUGGUGUUAUCAGGAAAUGUGUUGUAUUAUUGGACUAAAAUCUGCUGACCUAGAUACAAUGUUCCAGCUUCUGAAGCUACAGAAAACUCAAAUUCAUGUAAUCUUUCUUCCAUCUGACAACUCCAUGUGAAGAGAGAACUUAGGUCUCAUUUUACUCAUUCUUUCAUUCAAUAAAUAUUUACUGAGUGCCUACUA
This is a long non-coding RNA of Cebus imitator (Panamanian white-faced capuchin), 1376 nucleotides long. RefSeq lists it as uncharacterized. The record is from RefSeq and is a predicted model, not a curated record. NCBI's taxonomy places the organism in Eukaryota, Metazoa, Chordata, Mammalia, Primates, Cebidae. The transcript has 2 exons.